Molecule: ribosomal RNA, 107 nt
Filed under: Flavobacteriaceae bacterium GSB9
Lineage: Bacteria; Pseudomonadati; Bacteroidota; Flavobacteriia; Flavobacteriales; Flavobacteriaceae
Source: RNAcentral
AGGUGGUUAUAGCGACGGGGCUCACCUCUUACCAUUCCGAACAGAGAAGUUAAGCCCGUUAGCGCCGAUGGUACUACAUUUGUGGGAGAGUAGGUCGUUGCCUUUCU